UAAGCCUGUGAAGGUGGCCUGUGAGGGUUGCUGGAGGUAUCAGAAGUGCGAAUGCUGACAUAAGUAACGAUAAAGCGGGUGAAAAGCCCGCUCGCCGGAAGACCAAGGGUUCCUGUCCAACGUUAAUCGGGGCAGGGUGAGUCGACCCCUAAGGCGAGGCCGAAAGGCGUAGUCGAUGGGAAACGGGUUAAUAUUCCCGUACUUGGUGUUACUGCGAAGGGGGGACGGAGAAGGCUAUGUUGGCCGGGCGACGGUUGUCCCGGUUUAAGCGUGUAGGUGUGUGUUCCAGGUAAAUCCGGUUCACUUUAACACUG
RNAcentral lists this ribosomal RNA (314 nucleotides) under Salmonella enterica. Its description in RNAcentral is "partial 23S ribosomal RNA". It matches the Rfam family "Bacterial large subunit ribosomal RNA", at positions 1243 to 1558 of the family's 2925-position model. Lineage: Bacteria; Pseudomonadati; Pseudomonadota; Gammaproteobacteria; Enterobacterales; Enterobacteriaceae. The record is from RNAcentral. RNAcentral also lists the same sequence under 1 other name.